UCCGGUAUCGUUCAAAGGCAGGACACCAAGCUGUUAACUUGGCUAUGUUGGUUCGAUCCCAGCUACCGGAG
RNAcentral lists this transfer RNA (71 nucleotides) under Mycobacterium phage Wildcat. It matches the Rfam family "tRNA". Rfam says of the family: Transfer RNA (tRNA) molecules are approximately 80 nucleotides in length. Their secondary structure includes four short double-helical elements and three loops (D, anti-codon, and T loops). Further hydrogen bonds mediate the characteristic L-shaped molecular structure. tRNAs have two regions of fundamental functional importance: the anti-codon, which is responsible for specific mRNA codon recognition, and the 3' end, to which the tRNAs corresponding amino acid is attached (by aminoacyl-tRNA synthetases). tRNAs cope with the degeneracy of the genetic code in two manners: having more than one tRNA (with a specific anti-codon) for a particular amino acid; and 'wobble' base-pairing, i.e. permitting non-standard base-pairing at the 3rd anti-codon position. Lineage: Duplodnaviria; Heunggongvirae; Uroviricota; Caudoviricetes; Vilmaviridae. The record is from Rfam by way of RNAcentral.